CACUAUCGUUAACUGAAUACAUAGGUUAACGAGGCGAACCGGGGGAACUGAAACAUCUAAGUACCCCGAGGAAAAGAAAUCAACCGAGAUUCCCCCAGUAGCGGCGAGCGAACGGGGAGCAGCCCAGAGUCUGAAUCAGCUUGUGUGUUAGUGGAACGGUCUGGAAAGUCCGACGGUACAGGGUGAUAGUCCCGUACACCAAAAUGCACAGGCUGUGAACUCGAAGAGUAGGGCGGGACACGUGGUAUCCUGUCUGAAUAUGGGGGGACCAUCCUCCAAGGCUAAAUACUCCUGACUGACCGAUAGUGAACCAGUACCGUGAGGGAAAGGCGAAAA
Molecule: ribosomal RNA, 336 nt
Filed under: Klebsiella pneumoniae
Lineage: Bacteria; Pseudomonadati; Pseudomonadota; Gammaproteobacteria; Enterobacterales; Enterobacteriaceae
Also listed under: 1 other name
Description: bacterial LSU rRNA
Rfam family: Bacterial large subunit ribosomal RNA
Source: RNAcentral